CCUACGGGAUGCAGCAGUGAGGAAUAUUGGUCAAUGGGCGCGAGCCUGAACCAGCCAAGUCGCGUGAGGGAAGACGGCCCUACGGGUUGUAAACCUCUUUUGCCGGGGCGCAACGGGCGCCACGUGUGGCGCCACUCAGAGUCCCCGGAGAAAAAGCAUCGGCGAACUCCGUGCCAUCAGCCGCGGUAAUACGGAGGAUGCGAGCGUUAUCCGAAUUUAUUUGGUUUCAAGGGUGCGUAGGCGGAUCGUUAAGUCAGUGGUCAAAUUGAGGGGCUCAACCCCUUCCCGCCAUUGAAACUGGCGCUCUUGAGUGGAAGAGAAGUAUGCGGAAUGCGUGGGGUAGCGGUGAAAUGCAGAGAUAUCACGCAGAACCCCGAUUGCGAAGGCAGCAUGCCGGCUUCCGACUGACGCUGAAGCACGAAAGCGUGGGGAUCGAACAGGAUUAGAUACCCUAGUAGUC
Molecule: ribosomal RNA, 460 nt
Filed under: uncultured bacterium
Lineage: Bacteria
Description: partial 16S ribosomal RNA
Rfam family: Bacterial small subunit ribosomal RNA
Source: RNAcentral